GGAGGAAGGGAUGACAGACAAAUGAAAAGAUUUGUUUGUUGAGUUGGGAAAAAGUAUAUGUAUGUCUAUAUAUAUAUGAGAUAAAAAGAAUCUAUAUAUAUAUAAAGGUAAAAUUAUUGAUGGUGACUAGAUCUUUCGAAAAGGACGGAAGAGAACAAGUAACCAAAAAUAACGAGGUAAAAGGGGUAAAUAAAUUUUCCUGGAUCAAACAAGCAAAGCAAAUAUGAUCUAUCAAUCUACCGUACCGGGAGAAAAAGUAUCUUCUUUAUCGACAAAGGAUGAAAGAAAGAUAGGUUAUUUUUUUUUCUUAUGUUGAAGGUAAGAACAAAAGAGAUAUGUAUGUAAACUAUACUAAGCGAACAACACACAGUCUUCUAUGUUUUCGAGUUCUUUGAUCGAACAGUAGCUAACGAGAAGCACACUGAACUUUGUUAGGAAUUCCAAAAACGC
Schizosaccharomyces pombe (fission yeast) is the source of this 450-nucleotide non-coding RNA. NCBI's taxonomy places the organism in Eukaryota, Fungi, Ascomycota, Schizosaccharomycetes, Schizosaccharomycetales, Schizosaccharomycetaceae. The record is from the annotation of a GenBank genome assembly.